GCCUGGGUGGCUCAGUCGGUUAAGCGUCUGACUUCAGCUCAGGUCAUGAUCUCGCGGUCCGUGAGUUCGAGCCCCACAUCAGGCU
Molecule: transfer RNA, 85 nt
Filed under: Felis catus (domestic cat)
Lineage: Eukaryota; Metazoa; Chordata; Mammalia; Carnivora; Felidae
Rfam family: tRNA
About the family: Transfer RNA (tRNA) molecules are approximately 80 nucleotides in length. Their secondary structure includes four short double-helical elements and three loops (D, anti-codon, and T loops).
Source: Rfam by way of RNAcentral